AUAAUACUCCAUAGAUUAGAGAUACUGGAAUGUUCUUUAGUCAAAAGUUCUGGCGCCUUAGGAUGGAUCUGCGGUCGAUUAGGUUGUUGUUGGGGUAACGGCCCAACAAGCCUGUAAUCGAUACGGGUUGUGGGAGCAAUAGCCCGGAGAUGGAAUCUGAGACAAGAUUCCAGGCCCUACGGGGCGCAGCAGGCGCGAAAACUUUACAAUGCAGGAAACUGUGAUAAGGGAACCCCGAGUGCCCGUAUACGCGGGCUGUCCAGGUGUUUAAAAAUCAUCUGAAGAAAGGGCCGGGCAAGACCGGUGCCAGCCGCCGCGGUAAUACCGGCGGCUCGAGUGGUGGCCACUAUUAUUGGGCUUAAAGCGUCCGUAGCUGGACUGAUAAGUCUCUUGGGAAAUCCGCCGGCUCAACCGGCGGGCGUCUAAGGGAUACUGUUGGUUAGGGACCGGGAGAGGUGAGAGGUACUCCGGGGGUAGGAGUGAAAUCCUGUAAUCCCCGGGGGACCACCGAUGGCGAAGGCAUCUCACCAGAACGGCUCCGACAGUGAGGGACGAAAGCUGGGGGAGCAAACCGGAUUAGAUACCCGGGUAGUCCCGGCCGUAAACUAUGCGCGUUAGGUGU
RNAcentral lists this ribosomal RNA (622 nucleotides) under uncultured archaeon. RNAcentral's name for it is "bacterial SSU rRNA". It matches the Rfam family "Archaeal small subunit ribosomal RNA", at positions 146 to 774 of the family's 1478-position model. The record is from RNAcentral.